AGAACCUUUCUAUCCCUCCUCAAAGACACUGUGGUGUCUGGAGCAUCACUGCAUCGUCACGUUAUGCCACACAGGAACCAAGCUGCUUCCUUUGGGUGUCUACCCUGUCGGGAGGUCUGGGGAGACCAGGAGCUCACGUGUGGAGACACCCCACCAGCAGCACUCCACCCCUCGGAGCCUUGGCUCCCACGGGCUCCAGGGCUAAUGUGGGGACACAUGAUGACACAUAAUCAUGCCGGAGAGGACACUGGCUGUGCAGUACCUGAAGCCCGGUGCUAGGGCCUGGACACCCAGCUGGACCCCAACUCUUCAGCGCAACUCACUGUUGUUUGCAGUACAAUGACUCUUUUUUUUCAGAGUGGCCCCACUGCCCACACUCACCAAUGG
RNAcentral lists this long non-coding RNA (387 nucleotides) under Heterocephalus glaber (naked mole-rat). Its description in RNAcentral is "lncRNA (ENSHGLG00000044189.1)". Lineage: Eukaryota; Metazoa; Chordata; Mammalia; Rodentia; Bathyergidae. The record is from RNAcentral.